UUUGUACAUGAUGACAACUGGCUCCCUCUACUGAACUGUCCUUUUGUCCAUUCCUAAAUCACUACUCAAUCAAGUCAGAUUCAGCAAA
RNAcentral lists this small nucleolar RNA (88 nucleotides) under Erinaceus europaeus (western European hedgehog). Its description in RNAcentral is "Small nucleolar RNA SNORD100 (ENSEEUG00000023564.1)". Lineage: Eukaryota; Metazoa; Chordata; Mammalia; Eulipotyphla; Erinaceidae. The record is from RNAcentral.